RNAcentral lists this ribosomal RNA (327 nucleotides) under uncultured eukaryote. Its description in RNAcentral is "partial 18S ribosomal RNA". It matches the Rfam family "Eukaryotic small subunit ribosomal RNA", at positions 1470 to 1796 of the family's 1831-position model. The record is from RNAcentral.
CCCUUAGAUGUUCUGGGCCGCACACGCGCUACACUGAAGGAGGCAGCAUGUACUCCUGGAUCGAAAGAUUUGGGUAACCCGCGAAUCUCCUUCGUGCUAGGGAUUGAGGUUUGCAAUUAUCCUUCAUGAACGAGGAAUUCCCAGUAAGUGCAAGUCAUAAGCUUGCGCUGACUACGUCCCUGCCCUUUGUACACACCGCCCGUCGCUACUACCGAUUGAAUGAUUUAGUGAGGACUUCGGACUGGGACCGAUGCGGCUUUCGGGCUGCGUCGGUAUUCUGGAAAGAUGUCCAAACUGUAUCAUUUAGAGGAAGUAAAANUCGUAACA